Long non-coding RNA from Chinchilla lanigera (long-tailed chinchilla), 483 nucleotides. RefSeq lists it as uncharacterized. The record is from RefSeq and is a predicted model, not a curated record. NCBI's taxonomy places the organism in Eukaryota, Metazoa, Chordata, Mammalia, Rodentia, Chinchillidae. The transcript has 3 exons.
CGACCCCGGACUCCGCCCGCGCGGCCCGCGGGGACCCGCGCACCGGCUCCUGGCCAGUGGGCUCGCGAAAAUUGUUCGGGCCCAGCCGACCUGUUGCCUCACGGUGGCCAAAGGCGGUAGCCGGGAAGGAGGACUUCUGCCGCAGCGGCUGCAUUUCCCGGGCCCUGCACGGAAAGGCCUUGGUCUUUGUGCAUGGUUUCCUGCUUCUUUGGCUUUAUCAAGAGUCAGGUUCCUGGUCCAGCGGCUGCCUGCAGAGCAGCAAAGUGAAGGGCCUGCCCAGGAGAACGCUUCCUGACAGAGGCCCCACAUGGGCCAGGCACAGAGGGCUGCCCAUUGGAACCCAGGUCCUGGAUGAAGAUCUUGGCCAGCCCAGCCCUAAAAUCAAAGGCGAGAAGGCUGCUGUCAUUCGCUCCCUGAGGUUUCCCACAGCCUGGGCCUGCUGACUCUUCCUUGGGCGAAACCUCCCCAAGCGCCAGGACCUGU